GUGGCCGAGAUGGAAAAGAAUGGCUUUGAUCUUUAAUCUGAAUUUCAAUUAAUUAAUUUCUAUAAGGAUGAGUGAUGAUUCGGUGUUCAUUUGUGUUGCAUCCAUAUUCAUAUUGGAGCCCUGAUUAAAUUGAAUAUUCAGAAUAUUAGAAACAAAAAAAUAAGGAUGUAACAAGCUUAAAUCACUGAAAGUGGGCAAAGGCUCCUAACCCAAAUAAGAAACCAGACAACCUAAAGAAAUGGCUAGUGGGUAUCAAUCACAUUUUUCUGCAUCAGCAAAAUCAUUGUCCAAGGAUUGCAAAAGUACAAAUGUAACAUCAAAGAUAACCCUGGAACUAUUGGCUAAUAGAUAAAAUAUGACAGAGCAUCUUGAAAGAGAGAAAGGAAGCAGCCAGAUUUUGUGGGGACGUAAGGUAAGAGUUUGCAACUUGCAUUAGAAAUUCCUCAUACUUUCUCAAAAGGCAGGAGAUUUUCAUUUUUGCUAUACCACAUAGUGAAUUUUUAACAGCAGAUUGAUUUUUGCUGGUUGUUCUUCCAGGGACGACUGCACCUGGAUUUGGGCAGAGUACUCCAAGUGGCAACUUUUCCUUUGGGACCACUGGUGCUCCAGCAACAAACUUUGGGAGUCCAGGAGCAGGUGCAGCAGCAGCAUCGGCAUUUGCAGCAACACCCACCUUUUCUAUAGGAGCUGGAUCUCGACCUACUGGAACCAGACAGAGAUUGCAGGCUAGACGUCAGCACGUACGAAAGAGAUAGACAUUGGGAAUUUGAAUGGCGCAAAUGAACAUUGUGUUGACUAUUCUGGAAACCAUUACCACUUUUUACUUUUGUACCCUAAACAACGCCGGUCGUGGACGUGCAGGCAACUGACUUCAAAUGCUGAGAAUAUAUACUUGAGAAAAAUAGUUUAAAUUUAGUUUUUCUUUUCCACCUCUGGGCUUGAACUGUUAACAAAGGCUUGCAGCUGCUGAAAAAUAUUUUUCUGCAACAGUGCAGGAAACCUUGUUGGACUGCAGUGUGAAGUCUUCAUCGUCUUAAGUUCAUACACCCUUUAUUAAACUGACCACUGCAGAAUAGUGAUCUUUGUUUGGUUGAGGGUACAGCAGUAAUGGGUGACUCAGUAAGCAACAGACAUAGCUUUACUUGAAAUAUUCUACUUUAAAGGUCGUAAAAUGCAAUUUGCAGGCCUUUCUGGACUGACCCUUUUCUUUUGUACAAAUUGCUGCACUUGAAAACAUUUUUUUAAAUUACAUUUCUUAAGGGCACAAUUCCCAGUAAUAUCACCACUUACUGUGGUGCCUUCUGUCCAAAGGCAAAAACUGAACUGGAGGCUAAUGGUAAUUUUUUUUUUGUCUUCCUUCUCAUUUGUUUUGAAAUCUUCAUUAAUUUUGGUUUAUGCCUGAGAAGAAUUCUAAACCUGACUGAAACUUGGGAAAAGAAAAUGUUGUGCCUGUUGAGUCACUUCUCAAAUAUUUUGCUUUGCUGCCUGACUCUGUCCUUUUUAUUUUUCCUUCUGUGAAUAGCUUCCUUUUUAAAUCUGUUGUUUAGUUAGGUAAAAGAAACCAAUCCAAAUUGCUCUUCCCUCCUGUGCUUCUCCUCUUUCCCCUCUCCACAUGUCAGACUUUUUUUAUAUACAGUAAUGUUAUCAGUGUUUGCUCGUCUAUCUCACUUUGUUGCUCAGUGAAUCGAGUUUGGAGGAAAAAUUUCAGUAUGUGUGGCGGCAUGUUAGUAAUGCCGGACCUGACUGGUUCAUUGGAUAUAUGUGAAUCUGACUCUUGCUAAUCUGAUGCGAUAGUGUUUUGCUACUAUAACUGCGUGACACAUUAAGCAGUGUUCUAUGGAGAAAUGGCAGUCAUGGCUAGUUUUGGAGGAGGUUCCGAUUACACAGUAUAGGAUUCUCAAUGACAGAUUUUAAAAAUCUGGUGCUAUAAUGUUAAGAAACACAAAUUAUUCAAGCUUAUACCAAAACUUCGGUUGGCAAUGUUAAGAAUUGUACAUGUAUGCAUAUAUACUGUGUAUAUUUUAACUGAGACUAGGUACUUGCAUCUUAUUUUGGGUGCACCUUGCAAAUGUACCUGUUUUAAUUUUCUUUAUUAAAAACAAACUGAUUUUUCAAAAGUUUUUUUUUAGAAAGUAAAGUGGUUCAUCAAAACUUUUUGAAUAAUCUUGACUUUAAUCUCUGCAGAUUUUAUUAAAGGAGUAGCUAUACUGGGUGCACAGUCAUGUUGCGUAGUGCGUUUUUUUUUAUAACUGGUGGGAUACAGAUCACGUAUUAUGCAAACCUCCUGUUUCCUGUUGUCACAAAUCUGGUAUGAGCAGAGUCUUGAAGUUGGCCAUCAUCAGUCCCCUGGUAGUGAUGUUGUUUAUGGCAGGUUUUGAGGUCUGAUCUAUUUUUGUUUUGGAUGUUUUAGUCAUACAUUUUUAAUAAAAUCUUGUGACACACAUUGAACUGAGCUUCUCAGGAACCAAAAUAGUGGGGGCAACAUGACAACUUCAGUUUUCGAGGCCAGUUUUAAAGUCUCAGGGUGGACUAGCAUUCAAAUAAUUCUGCUGUUUUUGCCCAGUAGUCUGUAUAGGAGUGCCUCUUGAGAUACAUGUUGAAUUUGUAGCGUGGGUUACCAUGGUGAGAUCUGUCCUUUCCUUUGAGUUCAUGGAUGAAAAUUGGGUAAAGUGUUGGAGGCAAAUGAGAGGAGACGGCAGCCCACAUAAGUUGGUCUGAAUAUUUUUAAAUGGAGAAACAACUAUUCUCCUUGCAUUCUUUGUGAAAUCACUUGUCAGUUUUCUAAUUGUUCCUCACAAACUCUUUCCUCCUUGUGGUGACAGAAGUGGAUUUUCCAAAACAUCCUUUGUGUUUCUUUUACCCUGGGAGAAAAUGCUCCUCUGAUCCCUGUUGCCCACUUCCCCAUACACGCACAUCCCUCCUAGAUGUUUUGUACUUUGCUGGCUACAUUUAAUUAACAAUUUCCUUAAUGGUUUCCCACAUGAUAUCUAGCCAAAAUUAACAAGGCUUUGCAUUGUCUUUCCCUUCAAACCACAAAAUAUCAGCAUGCAAUGCUGUCUGACCUGCCAUUGAUCAAUUUGGAAAUGAGCUACCUCCCCAUCACUAUGGCUUAAAUCUGACUGGCUUAGAGAAGUGUAAAUAACUUAAAAUCAAGAGUGGAAAUUAAAUCCAAGAGAGCUUUUAAGAGGGAAGACAAAAGUUUAAGUAAUAGAUGGGGUGGGGCAUGUAGCAGAUACUUAAAACUGAGAGUGACCACUUUUACAACAUCCAAUCACUGAUUGCAUGCAUUGUUCUGUAGAGGCACUGCAAUCAAACAGUUUAUGAGCCAUUUUCAGAGAAUAUUUGUACUGUUUCUAUUGGAAAUUUUUAAGACAAUUCUGGCUGGUCCAAGCGGCUAGACAGGUUGAAGGUCCCUCCUCAUCCCAUUAAACGACUGCCAUUUUGUGACGUCUGAGUAUGAAUGUGUGCGGGUGAUUGGCAACUUCUAAAUUUAGAUAAAAUUUAAAAAAAAAACAAUAAAUUUUAUUUUUAUAUGUAAGUAAAACUUAACGUUCCUUCAAGCUUGGUUCAUUGAGACUUAAUGCUACACUGGUUAAAUAGUAUACUUCUGGUAAACAAUUGUAUGUACAAACUGGUUUUUAAACAUGGAAUAUGAAGUUGGUGUGAGUAAGUUUGGAAGAUCUAAUGGUGAGUGAAAAAAGACAGUUGGGAUGCUAUGAUUCUUGCUGAAUGUUACACAUAGGUUAGUAUACUCAUGCCUGUAUUUGGGCCAAAAUCAUACCGGAUAAAAUUUGGGUGUCAUUUAAAGGUUUUGUUUUUAAACAUUUAUUUUGAUUCAUCAGUUGAUCAAGGUUCAUUGAGUUGACAGCAAGCAAUGGAGUCAAAAAGUAGAUCCGAUUCAUUUCUUGGUCCAUGCUGUUAGUAGAACAUGGGUAGCUACAAAGACCAUGCAUGUUGCUUCCACAUUCCCUCCUCUCUCUCCUGCCCCUUUCUUCACCUCUCCCCAAAAAAAAAUCUUAUGGAAGGGAUAAAUACUUGCCAUUGUUGCUGUUUCUCCCGGUUUUGUUCACUGGAAUGUGGCUUUGGAUGUGAAUAACAGAGAUCUUUUCUGUUCUGAUCUUUUCUGCAGUAAUUUAGCCAAGAAGCAGUUACUGCUGAGGUUUUUGUUUUAAAAAGGUUGUUAGGGAGCAUUUUAAGACAUUUUAUUUGAUUUCUACAGCACCCAUUGAUUAUUAAAGGGUGGUUGGAAGUGAAAGCUUAGCACAAUGCUGUUCAUGUCAACAGCUAGUAUUGAAUAUUUAUCAAUUAGAUAGAACAUAAAAGCUGUGAUUAUUGAUAUGCAGUAAGGUGUUGCAUAAUUGAACAUCAAAAUUAGGUUUGAAACAAACAUCCAAUCUGAACAAAUUGAGAUUGCUACCCCUGCAGGGGGGCGCAUAAAGCUUAUAGAAGGAGAGAUUUUUCGAGAAUGGAAACAUAUUUUAAGUAAUUUGCUCCAUUGUGUACACCACACUCCUCAUCUCUCUGAGCACUUUAGUGAUGUGAUCUUACUGUAAACGCAUAUAUCUCUCCUCCUUCCCAUGUAUUGAUUGAACUCACAUUGUCAACAGGAGCACAAACUCCAGAGGGACCUUUCCUAACUGCAAUUGACGUUGAGGCCAAUUAUUCUACUAUCAAAUCGGAGAUCAAUUUGCUUAGUAUGUGAUUCUGUGACCCAUCUAGCGUGCAGAGUUUAGAUCGCAUGACAGUGCACUUAGCACUAUUAUUGGGAAUUGAGGGAAGUUCCAACUUGGAAUCAGUACAACUUAAAUUGUCCUGUGCUUAAAUUCACAGUUUGAUAAGUGCUGAACCAUUCAAAGCAGCGAGGUCUCCGUAAUUCUGUGGCUCCCCUGGGGGAAUAUCAAUCAUAAAAUAAUUUGCAGUACCCACACACAAACUUGCUGAUGUUGGGGGUGAUAUGGAGUGUUGCACCUGCCAGUGUUCUUAGUGUCUGCACACCUCGUGAAACAAGGUUCAGCUGUGAUCAAUUUGAAAAGCUGGCUAACCCAGAAGCAUCGUGGUAUUGCAUCCUGCUGCCUCAUUGCUAUCAGGAGAAAAGAGAUUGGAGGAGGAAGUAAAUGGUUGACUUCUCCUUUUGAAUUUUCACUUAACCUGUGAUCAGUUUGAUUGCUGUAUUGCCGACCAACAAGUGCUGGAGUCCUGAUUCUAAUUCAUGCCUCUCUAGUUGUAUGCCCAUGUUGAGUUUGACAGAACUUUACAGGUAGUGUUAAUUUCAUGUUCAUAAAAGCCAUCGUUGUGUCACUAUGUGAGCAUGUCAUCCAGUCAAUGGUUGCACUGCCCCUACCCUUUGUUUGCAUCCAAGUUAAUUAUGAGUGGCUUUCAACUUAGGCAUCUUAUGAAAUUAGGAAUCUUGUUUCUACAUAAGACGCAUUGAACUGACAACUUUUUGUUUCAGUGGUUACAAGCAAGUUUUAUGUUUCAAAACUUGAGCUGUAAAUGCAGAAAACUGGAUGCGCAUUUCAUUUUUGGAUUAUUUUCUGAACUUAAUCUGUUUUCUCCCCUUUCUUAAUUCGAGCACAAUUCAUUAUCUUUCAGAAAGAAAAAUAGUCUGAAUGACUGACUGUCACACAUGAAUCAAUGUGGUGUUAUAAAUCAUCUCUUUGCCAUAAGAGGCAAUCACAUGUAAUGACAGGGUAUUGGCACUGCUGCACAAUUGAUAACACUGUACAGCAGUAGAGUGGGCUUGUGCUGUUGACCUUUCACUGCAUUAUUGAAGCAUCAAAUUGAGUCCCCUUUAUUUUAAUAGCUAAGAAUUUGAUCAAUACCAUAUUAUAGUUUUGCUGAGGGAAUAUUGCAUACGUUUACUAAAGCUACAGACACAUUUGCAUGACUUUUUUUUUACUUUCACACACCAUAAAUACUUUUUACUGUAAUUAUACACUGCUUUCAUUAUCUUUACUUAAUUCUUACAAUUCACCUUUCACUGUCCUUAUGUGGAUUAACACGCCAGUUCUUAAUCUACACUGAACUAGCAUUCAGCCUAGAGAUAGGAAUGGAAAUUCCUAAACUUCAAGCUGACAGAAAUCCAGCAGCACCAAAUAUCAGGCAAAUAGCAUUGCAAACAGAGCUGUAACAAGCGCCAUGUUCAAUAUCCCUGAUUUAAAUGAGUUAAUUAAACUUCAUAAAUUAAUAAUAUGGCUCCUUUUUAAAUGAGUGAGUUUUAAAUGAGUUAAAUUUCAUACACCAUUCCAGUAAUUGCUGAAUCAUACAUGUUGGUCGGCUAAAAUUUAUCAAUAUGGAAGCAAAACACUGCAUAUGUUGUCAAUCUGAAGCAAAAACAAAAAAGUUGAAAACUUCCAGGAUGUCUGCAGCAUCUGAGAGAGUGACGUUUCAGGAGUCAGUGACCCAGCCUUCUUUUGAAAUGUUAAUCAUAACUCCACAGCUGUUGCCAGACUUGCAUAUUUUUUAGAGCAUAACUGCAAGCCGUUACAGCUUAAGAGUCCACAAAUUAAGUUAAACUUACUUUCUCAUUAAUGCAUGAGUUACUCCCACUAACAGAUCUUUGGUUUUCUCAGUUACAGUGUAUUCAACAAUAAGAUAACAAAAUUAAGAACAGCGUUUUGGAAACUUCCAGGCCCAGAAAUUUCAACGCAGUGAAUCAGGAAUGCUAAUUGAGCUAAUUUAUGAAGGCUGUGCUGAACGUUGCUUUAUCAGGUGUAGUCCAAUUGGCAGGCAUUAUAUGCUCCAUCUCUGGCAAAUGAAAGCUCUGUCUGGAUUUCUCAGCUCAUUUUGCAAGACAGCAAAGGCCUUUACUAGAACAUAUUUAGGUGUAUAAACUUUAUUUGCCAGUCCGCAGCUAAUUAAGCCUCAUCUUUCCCAGAACCAGGACUCCGUAUCACAGGUAGCAGAUCACCUGAUUAGUCUAUGCUGAUCUUCCACACCCAAUGAGAACUUGCUAUAAAUUACUUCUCCAAGGUUGUUAGAUUUGUUACAGUGCACUUCAGCUGCUUAGUUAGCUGUGGUGUUCAUUCAAAUAUUAUGUUUGUUUGUUUUAAAAUGACUGAGGAAAUCUGAAAUUUGAUGGUUUGUUUGUUCCAGGGUAUAGAAAUACCAUUUUGCAAAAUAGCUUAAUGAGUGGUCACUGUAAUGUGCCCUAUUCUUAAGCUAUGCUCAAAAUAAAUUCCCAUCUUUUCAUUGCCAAUUUGUACUUAGUAAGUAAAUCUCAGAGGUGGCAGCAAUUUGGUGCACGAUCAUUGGACUCAUUAGCAUAGGUUUGUGUUUUGGGGAUUGGGUAAAGAAAGACAGUCGGAAUCCUUGUUUUGCUUUACACUAGAUCCAUACUCAAUCUCAAUUCAGCUAUCCUUGUCAGAAAGUGCAUGUAUUUUGAUGUCAGUUGUGAUAGCGAAUGUAGUGGAAUGCCCAAUUGACUUGCUGUUUAAGCUUGCCCACAUGGAACAGGUGCAGGACUGAAUUCCCCACUUGUUGAGAAAAAAAUUCCCUGUGUGGAUGUUGCUGCACAAUGUGUGAUGGUUUCUGCUUGGGCAUUUUCUUCCCUGGUCCUCAUUUGGGAAUAAGGAUUUUUUGUUUUCUCCAAAGGCAAAGAGAAUUGAGGUUGAGUUGAUUCUUGUCGUACCUCAACUGGGUAAAGGGAUGUAUGACCUUGAUAGAGACCUAAGGGCACUUUGUGCUGGGGUAUGUGGAAGCAAACAGUAAUAGUGUGGAAAUGAGUAUGUAGCUUUCAAUAUUUUGAUGAACUUCCUGUAUUAAGUUUUGGUUCUUUUCGAUGAUCAUGCCUUCCUUCCUUGAGACAUUCUUGAUCACAGGCUUUGUUCAGAACUGGCUGCUGCAUGAAAUGGCAAGGAGUUAAUUGUGUCGAGCCAUUAGGAGCAUUUCAUCUUCAAUUAAGAAGGGAAAAAUGGACUGACCAAGUGGCAAGACCAAUGGCUGUGGCAAUUUUCAUCUUUUCUUUUUAACAAUUGUUAUGACCUUUUCCUCCCAAUUAUUCUUUUUCUUAAAAAAAACUAUCUGGGAUAAUGCAGGCUUGGACAUGUCUUUUUUUUUUGUAAGAAUGCAUCAGUCUGUUUUUGGAUAAAUCAGCUUGUACACAACCUAGGAGUUACUGGUAAAUUCUCUUUCAAAGGUAGUGUGUGGAAAAAGGAUCAAGCUAGCAUUUUGAAACAUGUCUGAACCCAGUAAAUUUACAUCAUUAUCGAACAAUCCUGCCUUAAAAUUAGCAGUGCAUUUUUUUUUUGUAGGAACUAAUGUAACCCCAUCUUGCUGUGGUGCAAUUGUAAUCAGCUUUAUUGAAAUGCUUUGUUUGAAACAACUAAAACCAACUUUUUCUUCCGAGGACGUUUCAUAAAAGAAAAAUAGGCAGCUAUUGGGAUUCUAAAUAAUUAGCUGUUGUGUGAGAAUGCCACGGCAGAAUUUCAGUCCCUCUAUUUAGUACUAGACUAAACGCUACAAUUGUGUCCCAAAUCCCUGUUUCACCUGCCAUUCUGUCCUCAUCUGUGCCACGCUGUUGGAGAACUUUGGCAAAAGUGCUACGUUUUAUUGAGAAGGAAAAUCUGCAUGUUAAUAAUCACCUGUGUCCUGAACCAUCACAAUUAGACAAAAAAAAGUCAAAAAUAUAGAAUUCAGCUUACAUUUGGAAGACAGAGCGCCAAAGAACCAGCAAGUUAGUUUAAUUGCAGCAGUUUGCUAUUUUAAAUGACAUAUAUACCCUUUGAGAUUUAUGGUACUGAAUACCGUACCAUGAAAAUUGAUAUAGUAAUAUACUCACACAUUUCCAUCCAAACUCUGUAGUUGUUGAUUUGAUGAGUUGAGGUAUACUUCAUUUUGUAACUGUCUAUUGCAGAGAUCCAUUUAUGCCUAAAUUUUGAUGCUGUAGAACAUUUAAAAGUGUCUCAUUAAAUGCUUUAGGGUUCAUCAAUUCCCCUAAUUGUAGUAACCUAUGAGGUUUGUGUCUAGGUAUAGGAAAUGUCUUGUGCUCUCAAACAUACAAUUUUGACCCAGAAGAGGCAGUUACAGAGUAUAUGCCUGUGUACCUCUACUGAAUAUAUGUAGCAAGAAAUUAUAUUGAUCCCAACGGCAUGUAUGGUCCCUCUAUGACUCAGAAUGGUAACAAAAAUGUCUGAAUGAUGAGUGCUGAUGAGUAAAUUGUAGAAUGGGUGGAUGUGGAGAUUUGGUAGUAUGCUUUUUUAAAAAAAAAAAGUUGUAGACUUCUAUCAGUGCUGUCUAGCUUGAUAGAACUAGUGAAUGAAUGUGCAGAGGUAAAGCUGGCUGUGAAUGUGCAGAGAUCCGAUUUUUGCUUAUGUCAUUAAAUGGAAAUGGUUUUAAAUAAAAAGCUGUGAUUAUAAA
This is a long non-coding RNA of Rhincodon typus (whale shark), 9357 nucleotides long. RefSeq lists it as uncharacterized. The record is from RefSeq and is a predicted model, not a curated record. Lineage: Eukaryota; Metazoa; Chordata; Chondrichthyes; Orectolobiformes; Rhincodontidae. The transcript has 2 exons.